Nyctereutes procyonoides (raccoon dog) is the source of this 4712-nucleotide RNA transcript. It is a transcript of the gene named methyltransferase like 25, with no coding region annotated. The record is from RefSeq and is a predicted model, not a curated record. Lineage: Eukaryota; Metazoa; Chordata; Mammalia; Carnivora; Canidae. The transcript has 16 exons.
AUGGCGCACCACCCGCGUCGCCGGAACGCGACGGACGCUGUUGAAAUACGUCACGAGACGAAAGCAAUCAACCCUCCACCCCCGCGUCCAGAUCGACGUUCCGCUGAUCUGGUCUGUGUCACUUGCGACCGAGGCCUCGCCGUGCGGCCACGUUUGCGCCACCUACAGCCCGGGAGGGUGAGCGUUAUGGCGGCUUCUUUCUCCCUCCCGGUGACCCAAGACUUGUUCGCGCUGCGUGCCAAGUUGCAGGAGCUGCUGCAGUUCCUGCGGGAAGCCUUGUCCAUCUCCAACGCACACACGGUGGACUUUUACACGGAGUCCGUGUGGGAGCAGCUGAUCGGUUUACCCCCUGAGGCCGUGCUGGGGGUCCUGAGGAAGUCAGCGGCGGAGGCCGAGGCCGAGGCCGAGGCCUCGGCCCGGGUCUCAGAGGCGCGCCUCCUGUCGGAAGCCGAGAGUCCCUCAGGUAUUACCAAUUUUCCCAAAAUAUUUUGUGAAACUUCCCAGAAGCUGAUAAGUGUGGAAGCCUUUGCUCGGGCUGUGAGAUAUUAUUCUGUAAAAAACUUAGGAAUAUGUACUCCUUUUGAACAGUUGCUUACAGCCCUUCGAGGAAGUCAAAAACAGAGAACUGGUGAAAAUGUGAAACUAGAUGAAUUUAUGAAUUUGAAAAAAUCUCAUGAAGUUCAGGCUAUGUCAGAGCUGAUCAGUGGUAUUGCUGAUUACUGUGGAAUAAAGCAAGUAAUUGACCUGGGUUCUGGGAAAGGCUACCUAAGCUCUUUUUUGUCCUUGAAGUAUGGCUUAAAAGUUUAUGGAAUUGAUUCAUCAAAUACCAAUACUCAUGGAGCUGAGGAGAGAAACAGGAAAUUGAAGAAACAUUGGAAAGCCUACCAUACUCGGUCAAAAUUAGAUGCUAAUGGACUGGCAUUAAAAAUGGCAAAAGAUAGGAAAGUACAAGAUGAAGUUAAAUAUAAAGUAGAUAUUGAGGGACUAUGUAACAGCAGUCCUGCGAAUCAAGAAAAGAUGUCUACUUCAGAUUUUUUGCCGGAUUUUUCGGAUUCUGUAAUUUCUAACAUUAGAGUACAAAUGGAAAACCUACACGUGUAUUCACAUCGAGAAGAAAACUUGUGUUUUGAAAAUGCCUUUUCUCUUAUAGACCUUUUGCCUAUUAAUGCUGUAGAACCUACUUCAUUUCAAACACCUAAGAGAAAAAUGUCUGAAGCAAAUAAAGAGAGAAGAAAAAUGACAUCAAAGUCAAAUGAAUCAAAUAUAUAUUCACCUUUAACAUCUUUUAUCACUGCUGAUUCGGAACUGCGUGAUAUUAUUAAAGAUCUGGAGGAUUGUUUGAUGGUAGGUUUACAUACUUGCGGUGAUCUUGCUCCAAAUACUCUGCGAAUAUUUGCUUCCAAAUCUGAAAUCAAGGGAGUUUGCAGUGUGGGUUGUUGCUACCACCUCUUAUCUGAAGAGUUUGAAAACCCGCAUAAAGAAAGUACCCAAGAAAAGUGGGGAUUUCCAAUGUGCCAGUAUUUAAAGGAAGAGAGAUGGUGCUGUGGUCGUAAUGCCAGAAUGUCAGCAUGUUUGGCUUUGGAACGGGUUGCAGUUGGCCAAGGGCUGUCUACUCAAUCACUCUUCUAUCGAGCCGUCCUUCAAGAUAUUAUUAAAGAAUGUUAUGGCAUCACCAAAUGUGAUCGGCACGUUGGUAAAAUUUAUUCCAAAUCCUCUUCCUUUCUGGACUAUGUCCGAAAGUCUCUUAAGAAGCUUGGAUUAGAUGAGUCCAAGCUGCCAGAAAAAGUUAUAAUGGACUACUACGAGAAGUAUAAGCCUAGAAUGAACGAGCUGGAAGCUUUUAAUAUGUUGAAAGUUGUUCUGGCUCCUUGUAUAGAGACAUUGAUUCUUCUAGAUCGACUUUGCUACCUGAAGGAGCAGGAAGAUACUGCAUGGGCUGCACUUGUGAAGUUGUUUGAUCCUGUGAAAUCUCCCAGAUGUUAUGCUAUUAUUGCCCUGAAGAAGCAGCAAUGAUUUCAUUUGAAGCAAGCAGUGAAUACGUUCAGAACAUGCUGUGGAGAAAAGGAAGGAAAUGAAUACACUGAUCCUCCAUGGGGAAAAUACUGCCUUUCCUCUGAGAGAAAAGAAUAAUGCCAGGAUGGGAGAGGACCUCGCUGCUCUAGACUGGGUCCCCGCGGCUGAAGUGCUAAAGAGAUCCAGGCUAUGAGCCUGCAUCUGAAUAUCAGAUACGGUAUCUUUACUGUUGGCCCAUGGUGUCUAAGUGCGUGAUCAUGCACCACCCACCAGUCUAGGAGUGAAGGAGACUGGCUACAGCCUUGGAGACACAUGAUGGAGAAGACACAGAGCCUGUGGAGGGCGCCCUGAAGAAGGCACAGGAAAUAGGGAGGGGCCCUUUCAAAAAGGGCUCCACUGGCCAAGGGCUCAGCACUUAACAGCUUCUGGGAGAGAAGAAGGACCUCAGAGAAAAUGCCUGUUAGACUGGUAUCCUCAUAUGCGUCAAUUCCUGUGGGAAGCAUUUGCUGAUACUCGGCCCACACCUCCACCACCAUCCAAGUGAAGGCUGAAAGUCUAUCACCAGCAGAAUGGAUAAAAUUAUUGUGAUAUAUUCAUACGAUGGAAUACUUCUUAGCAACAACAAGCAAUGAACUACACAUACGUGCAACAACAUGGAUGGAUUUCAAAAGCAUUACCCUAAGUGGCUAAGUGAAAUAAGACAGAUACAACAGAUUACAUUCUGUAUGGUUCCAUUUACAUAACAUUCUAGAAACGUCGAAACUGUAGAAACAGAAAACACAUUGAUGACUGGUUGCCAGGGGGCUGUGGAUAAAGGAAGGGAUUGUCUACAAAGGGGCAUACGGAACUUCCUGGGGUGAUGAAAAUGGCCCAUAUGUUUGUCAAAUUUAUUAAACAGUACACUUAAAAAUAGGGUCAAUAUUAUUGCAUAUAAAUAAUUGUACCUCAGUAAAACUUGACUUUUAAAAAAAUUCUAAAGUUUUAUCGGAGAGACAUUAUGAAUGAUAUUUUGUUACUAGACCUAAAUUGUCCUUUCAGAGAAUACAGCCUUAGAAUUUUCCCUCAAAAUGAAAGACAUUUGUGCAUAUUCUAUAGAGGGGAACAAAUAUGCAUUGGCUCAGUGUCUUGUUGAGUUUGUAUGCUAUUUGGAAAUUGGAUUGCUUUGACAAAUUACUUGCUAGCCAGGAAAAGCAUUAAAGGAUUAUUUGUCCACCACGAUUUCAAAUUUUCCCCUAAUGAUAAAAUCAUUUGAAAUAAAAGGUGACAGCCAAAGUAGUUUUACUCAGGGAGAUAUUAUUUCAUAUAUAGACAUGUAAGAAACAGUAUAAGCAAGAAGAGGAAAUAUAGUCUAAUUUUUAAAUUGUUACACUUACUUUAAGUAUUAUAAAUAACAGCAACAAACGAUUUCAGUCCUAAAUAGCACAUAUUUCAGAUUUCCUUAUAAAAGCUUCUCAACUUAAAGACUUGAAAUCACAUGUGAAUGUGGGUGUUUAAACUUCACUUUGCAAUUUGAAUCUUUACUUUUCAGGCCACUUUAAUGCCUAUUUUAAUGCUUAACUGUUUGAGGAUACUGUUGGAUUAUAUCGCUGUUUUUACCUGUUUGUGUGCUCUAAUGUUUUCCUACUGUGCUAUAGAAUAUUUUGCUUUAAUAGCAUUCUAUGUAUUUCAAGAACUUCUUUGUAAAUAAGUGAUGUGUCUUUCAAUAAAACAACUUGGGGAAGCCUUAAAAUCUUCAUAAAAGCAGUGUCCUUCAUUUACUUGUUAAUAGAACAUUAACAUUGUCUUAUCCAAAAUAAUUUUUUUCAUUCAUAGUUCAUAGAUUGAAGAACCAACUACCACUUACAUUUUAAAUGAGUUCCUGUGUAACUGCCAAAUUAAAUGAAUUAAUUUUUACCUUUGGGCCUUGUAUUGUCAUAAUAUUAGUUAUUGUUUUAAUGAAUUGUCAUAAUAUUAGUUAUUGUUUUAAUGAUAAUUUAUUUUAUUUUUUUUAUUCAAUUUUUUACCAGAAAGUCCAAACUAACUUCAGAUAUGUUUCAUUUUUUCCAAAGAUAUGUUUGAUCUCCAAGUAAGUGAUUACUGUGUUUACAUGAUGUCUAUUCUUUUGUAUAUCUAGAUCUGCUGCUAAUGCACUAGCUACUAGCCAUAUGGGCUUAUUUACAUUAGUUAAAAUGAAAUAAAAGUUCCAUUUCUCAGUCACUAGACAAAUUUCAUGUGGUCAAUAGCCAUAUGUGGUUUGUGUUUAUCCUAUUAGAGGGCACAGAUAUGUAAUACUUCAUCAUUGCCAUAGUUCUAUUGGAAAAGGGGGACUAAAUCAGGGUCAGGAAACUUUUUUCAUAAAGGGCUAAGUAGUAAUAUUUUAGAAUUUAUGGGCCAACAAACAAAACUAAGGUUGCUAUUUAGGUACUUAAAUUACCAUUUGAAAAAUAUAUCCACUUAAAGAUAUAAGAAAAAAAAAUCAACAUUCUUAACUUGAUGGAUGAAAAAAGGAGGCAACAGGCUGGAUUUGAGCCAUAGUUUGCCUACCCCUGGUGUAGAUCUUUCAGUCCUUGAUUCAUUUAAGCAUAUCUUUAUUGAGUACACCUAUGUUUUAGCCUCUGUGCUAAAUAUUAAGCAAAGUGUAGUGAACAAGAAAACAUAGUUCCAGACCUUAUGGAAUUCAGAAUAUAAUAGGAAAAGCUAACAAAAAUUGCACAAUCAAU